RNAcentral lists this unclassified non-coding RNA (407 nucleotides) under uncultured Cortinarius. RNAcentral's name for it is "sequence contains ITS2". The stretch from base 1 to 154 matches the Rfam family "5.8S ribosomal RNA". The record is from RNAcentral. Lineage: Eukaryota; Fungi; Basidiomycota; Agaricomycetes; Agaricales; Cortinariaceae.
AACUUUUGGCAAUGGAUCUAUUGCCUCUCGCAUCGCUGAAGAACGCAGCGAAAUGCGAUAAGUAAUGUGAAUUGCAGAAUUCAGUGAAUCAUCGAAUCUUUGAACGCACCUUGCGCUCCUUGGUAUUCCGAGGAGCAUGCCUGUUUGCGUGUCAUUAAUAUAUAUAUCAAACCCUCUCUUGUCGAGUGGUUUGGAUGUGGGGGUUUGCUGGCCUCUUGAAGGGUUCAGCUCCUCUGAAAUGCAUUAGCAGAACAACAACCUGUUCAUUGGUGUGAUAACUAUCUACGCUAUUGAAUGUGAGGGUAAAAGUUCAGCUUUCUAACCGUCCAUGGACAAUUUAUCAUUAAUGUGACCUCAAAUCAGGUAGGACUACCCGCUGAACUUAAGCAUAUCAAUAAGCGGAGGCU